GACCAUCCUCCAAGGCUAAAUACUCCUGACUGACCGAUAGUGAACCAGUACCGUGAGGGAAAGGCGAAAAGAACCCCUGUGAGGGGAGUGAAAUAGAACCUGAAACCGUGUACGUACAAGCAGUAGGAGCACCUUCGUGGUGUGACUGCGUACCUUUUGUAUAAUGGGUCAGCGACUUAUAUUCAGUGGCAAGGUUAACCGUAUAGGGGAGCCGUAGCGAAAGCGAGUCUUAACUGGGCGCUCAGUCUCUGGAUAUAGACCCGAAACCGGGUGAUCUAGCCAUGGGCAGGUUGAAGGUUGAGUAACAUCAACUGGAGGACCGAACCGACUAAUGUUGAAAAAUUAGCGGAUGACUUGUGGCUAGGGGUGAAAGGCCAAUCAAACUCGGAGAUAGCUGGUUCUCCCCGAAAGCUAUUUAGGUAGCGCCUCGGACGAAUACUACUGGGGGUAGAGCACUGUUAAGGCUAGGGGGUCAUCCCGACUUACCAACCCUUUGCAAACUCCGAAUACCAGUAAGUACUAUCCGGGAGACACACGGCGGGUGCUAACGUCCGUCGUGGAGAGGGAAACAACCCAGACCGCCAGCUAAGGUCCCAAAGUAUUGCUAAGUGGGAAACGAUGUGGGAAGGCUCAGACAGCUAGGAUGUUGGCUUAGAAGCAGCCAUCAUUUAAAGAAAGCGUAAUAGCUCACUAGUCGAGUCGGCCUGCGCGGAAGAUGUAACGGGGCUAAGCAAUACACCGAAGCUGCGGCAAUGUCUUUUAGACAUUGGGUAGGGGAGCGUUCUGUAAGCCGUUGAAGGUGAAUCGUAAGGUUUGCUGGAGGUAUCAGAAGUGCGAAUGCUGACAUGAGUAACGACAAAGGGGGUGAAAAACCUCCUCGCCGGAAGACCAAGGGUUCCUGUCCAACGUUAAUCGGGGCAGGGUGAGUCGACCCCUAAGGUGAGGCCGAAAGGCGUAAUCGAUGGGAAACGGGUUAAUAUUCCCGUACUUCUGACUAUUGCGAUGGGGGGACGGAGAAGGCUAGGUGGGCCAGGCGACGGUUGUCCUGGUUCAAGUGCGUAGGCUUGAGAGUUAGGUAAAUCCGGCUCUCUCUAAGGCUGAGACACGACGUCGAGCUACUACGGUAGUGAAGUCAUUGAUGCCAUGCUUCCAGGAAAAGCCUCUAAGCUUCAGAUAGUCAGGAAUCGUACCCCAAACCGACACAGGUGGUCGGGUAGAGAAUACCAAGGCGCUUGAGAGAACUCGGGUGAAGGAACUAGGCAAAAUGGUACCGUAACUUCGGGAGAAGGUACGCUCUUGAUGGUGAAGUCCCUCGCGGAUGGAGCUGACGAGAGUCGCAGAUACCAGGUGGCUGCAACUGUUUAUUAAAAACACAGCACUGUGCAAAAUCGCAAGAUGACGUAUACGGUGUGACGCCUGCCCGGUGCCGGAAGGUUAAUUGAUGGGGUUAGCGCAAGCGAAGCUCUUGAUCGAAGCCCCGGUAAACGGCGGCCGUAACUAUAACGGUCCUAAGGUAGCGAAAUUCCUUGUCGGGUAAGUUCCGACCUGCACGAAUGGCGUAAUGAUGGCCACGCUGUCUCCACCCGAGACUCAGUGAAAUUGAAAUCGCUGUGAAGAUGCAGUGUACCCGCGGCUAGACGGAAAGACCCCGUGAACCUUUACUACAGCUUGGCACUGAACAUUGAACCUACAUGUGUAGGAUAGGUGGGAGGCUAUGAAGACGUGACGCCAGUUGCGUUGGAGCCGUCCUUGAAAUACCACCCUUGUAUGUUUGAUGUUCUAACUUAGACCCAUUAUCUGGGUUGAGGACAGUGCCUGGUGGGUAGUUUGACUGGGGCGGUCUCCUCCCAAAGAGUAACGGAGGAGCACGAAGGUGGGCUAAUCACGGUUGGACAUCGUGAGGUUAGUGCAAUGGCAUAAGCCCGCUUAACUGCGAGAAUGACGGUUCGAGCAGGUGCGAAAGCAGGUCAUAGUGAUCCGGUGGUUCUGUAUGGAAGGGCCAUCGCUCAACGGAUAAAAGGUACUCCGGGGAUAACAGGCUGAUACCGCCCAAGAGUUCAUAUCGACGGCGGUGUUUGGCACCUCGAUGUCGGCUCAUCACAUCCUGGGGCUGAAGUCGGUCCCAAGGGUAUGGCUGUUCGCCAUUUAAAGUGGUACGCGAGCUGGGUUUAGAACGUCGUGAGACAGUUCGGUCCCUAUCUGCCGUGGGCGUUGGAAGAUUGAAGGGGGCUGCUCCUAGUACGAGAGGACCGGAGUGGACGAACCUCUGGUGUUCGGGUUGUGUCGCCAGACGCAUUGCCCGGUAGCUAAGUUCGGAAUUGAUAAGCGCUGAAAGCAUCUAAGCGCGAAGCGAGCCCUGAGAUGAGUCUUCCCUGACAGUUUAACUGUCCUAAAGGGUUGUUCGAGACUAGAACGUUGAUAGGCAGGGUGUGUAAGCGUUGUGAGGCGUUGAGCUAACCUGUACUAAUUGCCCGUGAGGCUUAACCAUACAACACCCAAGGGGUUUUGUA
RNAcentral lists this ribosomal RNA (2510 nucleotides) under Vibrio cholerae. Its description in RNAcentral is "bacterial LSU rRNA". It matches the Rfam family "Bacterial large subunit ribosomal RNA", at positions 451 to 2925 of the family's 2925-position model. The record is from RNAcentral. Lineage: Bacteria; Pseudomonadati; Pseudomonadota; Gammaproteobacteria; Vibrionales; Vibrionaceae.